RNAcentral lists this ribosomal RNA (503 nucleotides) under Histoplasma capsulatum. RNAcentral's name for it is "eukaryotic LSU rRNA". It matches the Rfam family "Eukaryotic large subunit ribosomal RNA", at positions 122 to 637 of the family's 3401-position model. The record is from RNAcentral. Lineage: Eukaryota; Fungi; Ascomycota; Eurotiomycetes; Onygenales; Ajellomycetaceae.
CCGGCCCCCCUGGGGGCCUGAGUUGUAAUUUGCAGAGGAUGCUUCGGGCGCGACCGCGGUCCAAGUCCCCUGGAACGGGGCGUCGUAGAGGGUGAGAAUCCCGUCUCCGGCCGGCCGGUCUCGCCCGUGUGAAGCUCCUUCGACGAGUCGAGUUGUUUGGGAAUGCAGCUCCAAAUGGGUGGUAAAUUUCAUCUAAAGCUAAAUACUGGUCGGAGACCGAUAGCGCACAAGUAGAGUGAUCGAAAGAUGAAAAGCACUUUGAAAAGAGAGUUAAACAGCAUGUGAAAUUGUUGAAAGGGAAGCGCUUGCGACCAGAGUCGGCCGCGGGGGUUCAGCGGGCAUUCGUUGCCCGUGCAAUCCCCCGCGGCCGGGCCAGCGUCGGUUUCGACGGCCGGUCAAAGGCCCCCGGAAUGUGUCGCCUCUCGGGGCGUCUUAUAGCCGGGGGUGCAAUGCGGCCAGUCGGGACCGAGGAACGCGCUCCGGCACGGACGCUGGCUUAAUGG